AGUUUGAUCCUGGCUCAGAGUGAACGCUGGCGGCAGGCCUAACACAUGCAAGUCGAACGGCAGCACAGUAAGAGCUUGCUCUUAUGGGUGGCGAGUGGCGGACGGGUGAGGAAUACAUCGGAAUCUACUCUUUCGUGGGGGAUAACGUAGGGAAACUUACGCUAAUACCGCAUACGACCUACGGGUGAAAGCGGAGGACCUUCGGGCUUCGCGCGGUUGAAUGAGCCGAUGUCGGAUUAGCUAGUUGGCGGGGUAAAGGCCCACCAAGGCGACGAUCCGUAGCUGGUCUGAGAGGAUGAUCAGCCACACUGGAACUGAGACACGGUCCAGACUCCUACGGGAGGCAGCAGUGGGGAAUAUUGGACAAUGGGCGCAAGCCUGAUCCAGCCAUGCCGCGUGGGUGAAGAAGGCCUUCGGGUUGUAAAGCUCUUUUACCCGGGAUGAUAAUGACAGUACCGGGAGAAUAAGCUCCGGCUAACUCCGUGCCAGCAGCCGCGGUAA
This 501-nucleotide ribosomal RNA is filed under the name uncultured bacterium. Its description in RNAcentral is "bacterial SSU rRNA". It matches the Rfam family "Bacterial small subunit ribosomal RNA", at positions 10 to 523 of the family's 1533-position model. The record is from RNAcentral.